Long non-coding RNA from Macrobrachium nipponense, 467 nucleotides. RefSeq lists it as uncharacterized. Lineage: Eukaryota; Metazoa; Arthropoda; Malacostraca; Decapoda; Palaemonidae. The transcript has 2 exons. The record is from RefSeq and is a predicted model, not a curated record.
GAUUAACCUACUGGAGAGGGAGGUGAAGCUGGCUCAAGACCAAUUUGGCCAACAGUGGAUUCUGCUGACCAAAAUGCAGCGCAUCUAGCAUCUUGCGCACCUCCCCUUGAUAGUCCUUUGCCUCCUAUAAGUUUGUUCGAUUUAUUGGAAGCUUUACAGGUGAAAAAGAGUGUUAUUCCAUGCCAUUCAGUAUAUGCAGUAGGACUUGAAAGAAUCUCGUCUCGUCUGUGGCAUCCCAGCUGGGGAGAAGUUGAGCAAGAAGCCAUUGCAGCCCAAGAAUCAUUAUUAAGAGAUACCCUCAAGGAACAAAGAUUAGCUGCAAAUCCUGUUUCAUAGCAAUCUUCAUUCUAAUCCUAAGUGCUACAAAAGGUUUUUCUUUUUUAAUUUAUAUGCAGGCAGUGAACUGUAAGAAAUUUCGAGACACAUACACGUUUGUGUGUAUGUGUAAUAAAGGCAAUUCCUUAUUA